RNAcentral lists this ribosomal RNA (253 nucleotides) under uncultured bacterium. Its description in RNAcentral is "partial 16S ribosomal RNA". It matches the Rfam family "Bacterial small subunit ribosomal RNA", at positions 524 to 776 of the family's 1533-position model. The record is from RNAcentral.
UACGGGGGGAGCAAGCGUUGUUCGGAUUUACUGGGCGUAAAGAGCGCGCAGGCGGUCGUUUAAGUCGAAUGUGAAAGCCCCCGGCUCAACUGGGGAGGGUCAUUCGAUACUGAUCGACUUGAAGGCAGGAGAGGGAAGUGGAAUUCCGGGUGUAGUGGUGAAAUGCGUAGAUAUCCGGAGGAACACCAGUGGCGAAGGCGACUUCCUGGCCUGUUCUUGACGCUGAGGCGCGAAAGCUAGGGGAGCAAACGGG